This is a long non-coding RNA of Xenopus laevis (African clawed frog), 1331 nucleotides long. RefSeq lists it as uncharacterized. The transcript is spliced from 4 exons. The record is from RefSeq and is a predicted model, not a curated record. NCBI's taxonomy places the organism in Eukaryota, Metazoa, Chordata, Amphibia, Anura, Pipidae.
AUAUCCGAAGUUGUACUGGGCUGCUGUUCCUGGAAGGUUUUAUAGGAUCCCAAGGCCCUUUAAGUGGAUGCACUUACCUUUGUGUAUGUUUCAAUUGCUUUAUCACUCCCCAUUCCAGACCAUUUUCUCUCCCUCUCCCUGUGUGUGUUACCCAAACUGUAUAAUGAAAAUAAGAACUGUACCCCCCCAGUCCCCUGAUCCCCAGAAUAAUGACACGGACAAUGGAUUAAGGGUCAAUCUGUGAAUUCGCAGCUUUAUUAACAAGAUAAAUAAGAUAGAACGUGGGGCUUUUAAUGGAGUUCCCUCCCAUCUGCAGCUCCCAAAUAAGAGACACUGCCCAAAGGUGGAGAUCAAGAUGGUAGAGGGCCUCCUAUGUCCCUUCCCUGAGAGCCGCAGCUGGGUAGUGAGCCCUUUGAUCCUGAGGAAGGCAAAAAAAAACCUCUGAAAAGCUUUGGCCAAUCUGCUUCUCUAGAGGGAAAAAUUCCUUCCUGACCCCUUAACGACGAUCGGAUUUGCUCCCAGGAUCAAUGCCACUGAUCUUGCUGGACAAGAAUAUGGCUGCAUGCACAUGAGCUUUCCAGCCGCUUGGUGUCCUCUGCAUUCCUCUCCGUUCCAUUUGCCUCCCCGUUGGCCUGCAGACCCCCGCACCUGCAGCCUGACAGAUGGAUGGGAGAGGAAUACAGACGCCUCCGUGUGGCUGUAAGACCCAUAUCUUUUUGAUGACAGCUCUUAACUCUUCAUUGGCAGUAUCUAGGUUACCUAGGAGGAACACCAGAGAUAUUAUUCCAGACCUGCAGUACCAAAGUUGAGGUUCGAACAAGAGCAAACAGUGUAGCAUUGAAGGUGACGGUCCCAUCUGCAUUUAAUGGCAUAUUCAUGGCCACCAGCCUCUGGGUAGAGAGUGGAUAUAAAGUUUUCCAAAACCCAGCGGAGGUUGGAUCCUGCGAAGCAAGGUGACUACAUCCAGGUGUUUGAUGCGACCCCUAGGAAGGGAAAAAUAAUGACAUUUUCACAAGACUCAUAACACAGUCAUGUAUUGGGUGCAGAAGGGAAGGUACUAGAUUGAAGGUGGUAAUGUAUGGCUACAGUUGGCCAUAGUUUUAUAUUUGGGUAAGUCAUCCCUUUGUGAUCAAUUUGUGAUCAAUUGCCCAUCCAUCAUUUCUCAUGGCAGCCAGUUUUGACACGUCAUCUUGUGACCCCACAGCACAGAUAGAUGAAAAGUGCCCCCCCCUUCCUUUCUGUAGUCCAAACAAUAAAUCACUGUACUGGACAUGUGAUCAACAGGUAUUCUUUUUUUUCUAGGGAUGCACCGAAUCCAGGAUUCGGUUCGG